RNAcentral lists this transfer RNA (73 nucleotides) under Camelus ferus (Wild Bactrian camel). It matches the Rfam family "tRNA". From Rfam's summary of the family: Transfer RNA (tRNA) molecules are approximately 80 nucleotides in length. Their secondary structure includes four short double-helical elements and three loops (D, anti-codon, and T loops). The record is from Rfam by way of RNAcentral. Lineage: Eukaryota; Metazoa; Chordata; Mammalia; Artiodactyla; Camelidae.
GAGGGUAUAGCUCAGCGGUAGAGCACAUGCUUAGCAUGCACAAGGUCCUGGGUUCAAUUCCCCUGUACUGCCA